AUUGAACGCUGGCGGCAUGCCUUACACAUGCAAGUCGAACGGCAGCACGGGAGCUUGCUCCUGGUGGCGAGUGGCGAACGGGUGAGUAAUGCAUCGGAACGUGCCCUGAAGUGGGGGAUAACGUAGCGAAAGUUACGCUAAUACCGCAUAUUCUGUGAGCAGGAAAGCAGGGGAUCUUCGGACCUUGCGCUUUUGGAGCGGCCGAUGUCGGAUUAGCUAGUUGGUGGGGUAAAGGCCCACCAAGGCGACGAUCCGUAGCGGGUCUGAGAGGAUGAUCCGCCACACUGGAACUGAGACACGGUCCAGACUCCUACGGGAGGCAGCAGUGGGGAAUUUUGGACAAUGGGCGCAAGCCUGAUCCAGCCAUGCCGCGUGAGUGAAGAAGGCCU
Molecule: ribosomal RNA, 389 nt
Filed under: uncultured bacterium
Lineage: Bacteria
Description: bacterial SSU rRNA
Rfam family: Bacterial small subunit ribosomal RNA
Source: RNAcentral